Molecule: non-coding RNA, 75 nt
Organism: Myotis brandtii (Brandt's bat)
Lineage: Eukaryota; Metazoa; Chordata; Mammalia; Chiroptera; Vespertilionidae
Source: Rfam
GGCAAUUCUCAGGUGAUGCACCCCAGAAUCAGUCUCCCUCCUCUCUGGUUCCCGGUGCGCCACCCAAUAAUCGCA